Molecule: ribosomal RNA, 852 nt
Filed under: uncultured bacterium
Lineage: Bacteria
Description: bacterial SSU rRNA
Rfam family: Bacterial small subunit ribosomal RNA
Source: RNAcentral
AGAGUUUGAUCCUGGCUCAGGAUGAACGCUAGCGGCAGGCUUAACACAUGCAAGUCGAGGGGCAGCAUGUCCAGCAAUGGAUGAUGGCGACCGGCGGAAGGGUGCGUAACGCGUGAGCAACAUGCCCUAUACAGGGAGAUACACCAGGGAAACUUGGUCUAAUAUCCCAUAGCAUUCAUUGAAGGCAUCUUUAAUGAAUUAAAGCUUCGGUGGUAUAGGAUUGGCUCGCGUGACAUUAGCCAGAUGGUGAGGUAACGGCUCACCAUAGCAAUGAUGUCUAGGGGUUUUGAGAGGAAGGCCCCCCACACUGGGACUGAGACACGGCCCAGACUCCUACGGGAGGCAGCAGUGAGGAAUAUUGGACAAUGGAUGGAAAUCUGAUCCAGCCAUGCCGCGUGCAGGAAGACGGCCUUAUGGGUUGUAAACUGCUUUUAUACGGGAGCAAUAAGGGUUACGAGUAAUCCGAUGAGAGUACUGUAUGAAUAAGGAUCGGCUAACUCCGUGCCAGCAGCCGCGGUAAUACGGAGGAUCCGAGCGUUAUCCGGAAUUAUUGGGUUUAAAGGGUGCGUAGGCGGCCAUUUAAGUCAGCGGUGAAAUUUUGCAGCUUAACUGUAACAGUGCCGUUGAUACUGUUUGGCUAGGAUUUGGUUGUAGUGUGCGGAAUGUGUGGUGUAGCGGUGAAAUGCUUAGAUAUCACACAGAACACCGAUUGCGAAGGCAGCACACUAAGUCAUUAUUGACGCUGAGGCACGAAAGUGUGGGGAUCAAACAGGAUUAGAUACCCUGGUAGUCCACACUGUAAACGAUGAUAACUCGCUGUCGGCGAUACACAGUCGGUGGCCAAGCGAAAGC